GCGAUAUAAGGCGCCGCGCGGGCUCGGGGUCCAGCGCCCGUCCGGUCCCGCCGCCGCGCCUUGUCCUGCCGCUCAGCCCGCCUCGGCGCCCCCUGCGCGCCCCGGCCUGGCAGCGGCUGCAUCAGGGCCGCCCCCUACCGCGGCAUCUCCUGCUACCGCGGCCCCGCUGCGUCUGCGGGGGCUUCCGGGCCGGCUCCUGCGGCCGCAGCUUCGGAUACCGCUCCGGCGAAGUGCGCGCACCCAGCUCUCCCUGCAUCACCACCGUGUCAGUCAACGAGAGCCUCCUGGCGCCCCUCAACCUGGAGAUCGACCCCAACGCGCAGAGCGUGAAGCACGAGGAGAAGGAGUAGGUCAAGUGCCUCAACAACGGGUUCGCUGCCUUCAUCGACAAGCAGGUGCGCUUCCUGGAGCAGCAGAACAAGCUGCUGGAGGCCAAGUGGAGGUUCUACCAGAAGCCGCUGUGGCCGGAUGCCAAGUGCGUGGAGGCCGACAGCGGGAGGCUGACCUUGGAGCUCAACCACGUGCAGGAGGUGCUGGGGAACUACAAGAAGAGGUAUGAAGAGGAGGUGGCACUAAAGGCCACCACUGAGAAUGAAUUUGUGGCUCUGAAGAAGAUAAGUGACCCCAGAAUCCUUGUCCCACACCUCAGAACUGAGGGCAGAAGCAGGAGGGAGCUCUCUGUAAUUCAGAGAGGCUGAGGGACUCCCCCAGAGUCACACAGCACCACCUCUUCCCUAUUCCUUUCCCCAAAUGCCGCAGUGCUCCCUGAGCUGCCCCAGACCUCAGAGUACUCUCCCGCUUCAAGCAGGGCAGUCUUCUCCCCAUCCAGGGUAACUCCCAUCUGGCCAUGGGCCUCCUGCCUCCUGCCCUGUGUGUGGCAGAGAGAAGGCACUCCGUGAAUGCGGGUGGAUGACAGUACGUGACUGCCAGAGGCUGGCUGCAUCCUCGGGCCGGCAACAGGUGGGAAGUGCUGGCGUGAACGAGGCCGUUGUUCCUCACCUCUCGGACUUCCGUCUGCACAGGCGCCAGCAUGGGGACGCUCACCAGGUCCUUCCAGCCACCUCCAUAUGAGGAAGGCAGGGGUUACCAUGGAGAAACUGAGGCACAGAGGUCCAGGGUCUUGCCCUGAAUUGCACUGAGACCUCUUCUGACCACAGAUCUAGAUUUCUUUCCAUGAGAUUCCAGAGCAGAGAGGGUGGGGCAUCACUGGAAUAGACCCAUUUUACAGGAGAUCCUAAGUUUCAGUGAUAGUUCUAGAUGUGGAUUCCAGAGGAGUCAUUCCAGUGGGAAUCAGAGGAAGUGCCUGGAACCCUCAGGAUCCCCCUCUGUUGCCCAAACCUGCUCCUCACGGCAUAAAGGACCUCACCAAUGCCAUGGUACCAGGCACUGGGCUGAGCAGCUAAGAAGGGUGUCUGGGGAGUGUGCCCAGCCCAGUGAGGUGUCCCUCGCUGGUGGGGAGAGCUCUAAGUUGUCACUCCAGUGAGACCCCUGGGCCGCCUUCUCCCCUUUAGGACGUGGACUGCGCCUACCUGCACAAAUCAGACCUGGAGACCAACGCGGAGGCCCCGGUCCAGGAGAUCGACUUCCUGCGGCGACUGUAUGAGGAGGAGCUCCAGAUCCUCCACGCCCACAUCUCAGACACCUCGGGCAUCGUCAAGAUGGACAACAGCCGGGAACUGAACAUGGACAACAUCCUGGCCAAGAUCAAGGCCCAGUACGAUGACAUCGCCAGCGGCAGCCAGGCCGAGGCCGAGUCCUUGUACCGCAGCAAGUGCGAGGAGAUAAAGGCCACGGUGGUCUGGCACGGGGAGACCCUGCGCCGCACCAAGGAGGAGAUCAACGAGCUGAACCGCGUGAUCCAGAGGCUGACCGCCGAGGUCGAGAAUGCCGAGUGCCAGGAACUCGAAGCUGGAGGGGGCCAUAAGCCAGGCUGAGCAGCAGAGCGAGGCGGCCCUCACUGACGCCGGCUGCAGGCUGGCUGGGCUGGAGGAGGCCCUGCAGAAGGCCAAGCAGGACAUGGCCUGCCUGCUCAGGGAGUACCAGGAGGUGAUGAACGCCAAGCUGGGCCUGGACUCGGAGAUCACCACCUACAGGCGCCUGCUGGAGGGUGAGGGGCAGAGGUUGUGUGAGGGCGUUGGUGCUAUAAAGUGACCAGUGACCCGUACUGUGGGUUCUGAAAUAAGGGCUUGAGAUGGGCAAACUUUUUCUUAAAGGGCAGAUAGCAAAUAUUUUAGGCUUGUGGGCCAUGCAGCCUCUGUCUCAACUCUUCAGCUUGGUCCAUGUGAUGUGAAAGCAGCCACAGCCAUAAGCAAUACUUAACAAAUAGGUAUCACUGGGUUCCAACAAAACUGUAUUUACAAAAACAGGAGGCCGGCGUGUGCGGCCAUAGUUGGAAGACCCUAAAAGGAAGGAGGGGGUGUGGCAGUGAAUGAUUGUAACUUAAAAUUGCUAUUUCUGCCUAUAGGGAGGGUCUGGGCUAAGAGUUUAUCAAAGAUGCUUGAAGUUAAACUGCAGGAAGGAGUGCUCAGGUGUGAGGAUUUUGGGGGAGCUGGGAAAUAGAAAUGGAGGGGUGGAGCUCUGAGCGAGAGAAGAGGGCUCUGGGCCAGCAAGCAGGGGCCGCAUGCCACGACCUCACAUGAGAACUAAGCCCUGUCUUCCACCUGCAGGUGUCAGCAGCUCCCAGGCCGGGGUCGUCUGCGGGGACCUCUGCGUAUCGGGCUCCCGGCCCUGCACCGGGAACGUGGCGGUGAGCGCCGGCCUGUGCGCCCCCUGCGCGCCCGCCCGGUGCGCGCCCCCGGAACACAGCUGCGGCCGCGGCCGCCUGGUGCGGUUUGCGUAGCGCCUCCGGCUUCGUAAAUACCCGGCUCCGCGAGCGAACUGUCCCCGCCUGCGGCGGCGGCCCCGGACCUCCCAGAGGCCCUGACUUGAGGCCGAAGGGCUGCGGGAACCGGCCGGCCCGACCUGACCAAACUGCGGCUUCUCUCCUUGCCUCUCCCCGCUUCGUCUCUUCGUUUCUUCCGGGGAGGCCGGGCUCCUCGGCCGCAUGUCUAGCAGCUCCCCCCACCCCUAAGAGUCUAAACGACUGGUUUCCUCGCAGCCCUGGGCAAAGAUCCAACCUCGGGCUGCCCUGGGGACUCAGACGCGUGUGGCUUCUAAGGGACAGCCUGACCCCAGGGACCCUCGUGGUGGACGCUGCGGCGCGGUGCCUCCUCUGCCUUCUGAACCCUCUGAGGUUGCGUUGCCAAGUACGGACGACCUUCCGCUGCUGCCUCCGCUCCCCUCGUGCUGGGUCUCCACUUUCUAAUAAAGGUCAUGGGUCAU
RNAcentral lists this long non-coding RNA (3321 nucleotides) under Equus caballus (horse). RNAcentral's name for it is "lncRNA (ENSECAG00000049655.1)". Lineage: Eukaryota; Metazoa; Chordata; Mammalia; Perissodactyla; Equidae. The record is from RNAcentral.